Long non-coding RNA from Esox lucius (northern pike), 1783 nucleotides. NCBI's taxonomy places the organism in Eukaryota, Metazoa, Chordata, Actinopteri, Esociformes, Esocidae. The record is from Ensembl.
CUCUCCCUUUGAUCUCUGCGGAGGUGGAGAGGAUGCACGGGGCCCGCUUUUUCACCAAUUUAGACCUCAGGAGCCCCUAUAACCUGGUACGUAUCCGGGAAGGGGAUGAGUGGAAAACAGCCUUUAGUACCACGUCCGGCCACUAUGAGUAUUUAGUAAUGCCGUACAGGUUGAUGAAUGCUCCAUUAGUCUUUCAAUCCUUCAUCAACGAUGUAUACUGGGACAUGUUGUGCGAGGGCGUGGUGGUGUAUAUCGAUGACAUCUUGAUAUACACUGCCACCCGUGCGGAGCAUGACCUGUACAUGAAAGCUGAGAAGUGUCUGUUUUUCCAGUCGUCUGUGUCCUUCCUGGGGUAUCGCUUUUCCAGCACAGGUGUGGCUAUGGAGGAGCCUCACAUUGACGCUGUGCAUAAUUGGCUGACCCCAACCACGGUGAAGGACGUGCAAUGAUUCUUAGGCUUCUCGAAUUACUACAGGAGGUUUAUCCGGGGCUUUAGCCAGGUCGCCGCUCCAUUCACCUCCCUUCUGAAAGGGGGGGCGACCCGGUUGCGGUGGACCGUGGAGGCGGAGCGGGCGUUUGUGGAACUGAAACUGGUCCUGGCCCAUCCCGACCUGUAGCUCCAGUUCAUCGUGGAUGUGGAAGUGUCCGACUGUGGGCUCGGUGCCAUCCUCUCCCAACGGACGGGGAGUCGUAACACGCUAAGUCCCUGUGCCUUCUUCUCCCAGAAGCUCAGUGCGGCGAAGCGGAAUUAUGACAUAGGUGAUCGUGAGCUGCUGGCCGUGGUUCGAGCCCUGUCGGCAUGGCGGCACUGGUUAGAGGGGGCUAAACACCCUUUCCUCGUCUGGACGGACCAUUGAAACCUGGAGUACAUGCGGGCAGCGAGGAGGCUGACCCCACGCCAGGCAAGGUGGGCUAUGUUCUUCACCCGGUUUGUUUUUACUCUUACUUACAGGCCGGGGAGUAAGAACGUCGGGGCCGACGCGCUGUCCCGCCAGCAUGACACGGAGGAGAGGCCAUUGGAUGAUGCUCCCGUGCUCCCGGAGUCGUGCAUCGUGGCACCGGUGGUAUGGGAACUGGAAGCGGACAUCGCUAGAUCACAGCGUGACGAGCCCUCUCCGCCCACAUGCCCUGAGGGUCGUACGUAUGUGCCGGCGGCUGUCCGUGACCGCCUCAUCUACUGGGCGCAUACAUCUUCCUCCUCCAGUCAUCCUGGUAUCGGGCCAACGGUGCGCGCCCUGGCCGCCCGGUGGUGGCUGGUCCCCUUCAGGGGUGUGAGGUGCGGGAGGUCCCCCCCCCCCCUCUGGACAUCGAGGGGGCCCCGGCGUACUCCGUCCGCUCCAUCAUCGACUCAAGGCGCAGGGCGGGGGGCCUCCAGUACCUCGUGGAGUGGGAGGGGUACGGCCCGGAGGAGCGGAGCUGGGUUCCGGUAAAGGACGUCCUGGCUCCUGUCCACAUCCGCGAAUUUCAUCGGCGUCGUCCGGAUCGCCCUGCUCCGCGUCCCCCGGGUCGGACCCGGGGCCAGUGUCGUCGCGCGGCUAGGGCCGUGUGUCAGAGGGGGGGUACUGUGACAACUGCGCCCUCUGCUGCUUCACCUCCCCCUGCAGCAGACAGGCUCCAGCGUUCGACGUCACCGGCCUUCUGACACCACCAUCCAGCUCAUCAUGCAUUUCACCUGUGUCUUGUUUAGCGCACCUGGUUCUCAUCCUCAUCAUUCCCCCCAGUAUAUAUGUUCCCUCUGCUCCCCCUGUCUUUGAGUGUUAUUGUCUCUAUGUCCCAAAGAGCU